RNAcentral lists this unclassified non-coding RNA (317 nucleotides) under Stutzerimonas balearica DSM 6083. RNAcentral's name for it is "Pseudomonas balearica DSM 6083 Long range pseudoknot". Lineage: Bacteria; Pseudomonadati; Pseudomonadota; Gammaproteobacteria; Pseudomonadales; Pseudomonadaceae. The record is from RNAcentral.
ACGGAAGAAGGGGAUUACCAGGUAAAGCUACGCAACCUGGUACGUUUCCUUGAAGAGGGGGACAAGGCCAAGGUUUCCUUGCGAUUCCGCGGCCGUGAGAUGGCUCACCAGGAGCUGGGGAUGGAGUUGCUCAAGCGGGUCGAAGCAGACCUCGCUGAGCUUGGUACCGUCGAACAGCAUCCUAAGCUGGAAGGACGCCAGCUGAUGAUGGUCAUCGCUCCCAAGAAGCGUAAGUAACCUACCGGGCACUGGCAGGCCUGAUGGUUGACUGUUGUUAUUGAAUGCGGAGUACGAACAUGCCAAAGAUGAAAACCAAA